GACUACAUUGGCCACCGUAGGAGUUAAAACGAACAGAUAAUGCGAAUCCUUCUAGAAGACUUUCCUGCAGUUCCAAACACAGAGGGCGGGUGAAACAUUAAAGAUGCUGAAAAGCAAAAGGAGAAGAUGAAAGGACCCUAAUGGAGGAGUUUUCCAUUUUCCAGCCCAGAUCUGACCCAAACACACAUCCAUAAACUGAACAACCGUUUCUCUUGCUCACUUGCUGUAUUUGCCUCCAUUGAGCACCUGGGACGUCUGUCUGUACGCGGAGGGAAGCGGGACCUGCUGACGGU
Non-coding RNA from Pimephales promelas (fathead minnow), 293 nucleotides. The record is from RefSeq and is a predicted model, not a curated record. NCBI's taxonomy places the organism in Eukaryota, Metazoa, Chordata, Actinopteri, Cypriniformes, Leuciscidae.